This 233-nucleotide unclassified non-coding RNA is filed under the name uncultured fungus. RNAcentral's name for it is "sequence contains ITS1, 5.8S rRNA gene". The stretch from base 185 to 233 matches the Rfam family "5.8S ribosomal RNA", at positions 1 to 49 of the family's 154-position model. Lineage: Eukaryota; Fungi. The record is from RNAcentral.
UUUCCGUAGGUGAACCUGCGGAAGGAUCAUUAAAGAGUUAGGGUCCUCGUGGCCCGACCUCCAACCCUUUGUGAACCAAACUUGUUGCUUCGGGGGCGACCCUGCCGACGACUUCGUCGCCGGGCGCCCCCGGAGGUCUUCUAAACACUGCAUCUUUGCGUCGGAGUUUAAACAAAUUAAACAAAACUUUCAACAACGGAUCUCUUGGAUCUGGCAUCGAUGAAGAACGCAGC